AUUGAACGCUGGCGGCAGGCCUAACACAUGCAAGUCGAGCGAGCGGCGGGCGGGUGAGUAGUGUAUGGGACUCUCCCCGAUAGGGGGGGAUAACUACUGGAAACUGUGUCUAAUACCGCAUACUCUCAUAUGCCCCCAUAUGGGAUUAGCUAAUAGGUGGGGUAACGGCUCACCUAGGCGACGACCUCUAGCUGGUCUGAGAGGAUGAUCAGCCACACUGGGACGGAGACACGGUCCAGACUCCUACGGGAGGCAGCAGUGGGGAAUAUUGCACAAUGGGCGCAAGCCUGAUGCAGCCAUGCCGCGUGUAUGAAGAAGGCCUUCGGGUUGUAAAGCACUUUCAGCGGGGAGGCGUUACCCGCAGAAGAAGCACCGGCUAACUCCGUGCCAGCAGCCGCGGUAAUUC
This 406-nucleotide ribosomal RNA is filed under the name uncultured bacterium. RNAcentral's name for it is "partial 16S ribosomal RNA". It matches the Rfam family "Bacterial small subunit ribosomal RNA", at positions 30 to 526 of the family's 1533-position model. The record is from RNAcentral.